This is a long non-coding RNA of Homo sapiens (human), 848 nucleotides long. Lineage: Eukaryota; Metazoa; Chordata; Mammalia; Primates; Hominidae. The record is from Ensembl.
ACUGCCCUCCAGCCUGGGCGAGAGAGUGAGACUCUGUCUCAAAAAAAUAAAAAUGUGUAUCUCUGUCAUUGGGAUUCCUAUAAGCUUGUGCCUAGACAGGAUAGUUAUUUUAUCUUUAAGACCCUGUUAAAGCCUGCCUGAGGUCUUAUCUGCAUUCCCCUGUGGGCUGACUCAGCACCUGGUUGCCUUGUAUUCUCCUGAUUAUGAAUCUUUCAACCUCUAGGACAUGGACCAUUAACGUUUAGUAUACUUGGCUGUAGCUACUUUAAGCUUAGAUAUCUGCCUUCGAAUAUUCUACCUUUUUUAAAAUAAAAUAUAAAUGUCUAGUGAUUCUUUCGUUGUUGUUUUUAUUUUUUGGAGACACGGUCUUGCUGUGCCACCCAGACUCGAGUGCAAUGGUGUGGUCACAGCUCACUGCAGCCUUGACCUUCUGGGCUCAAGUGAUCCUCCCACCUCAGCCUCCUGAGUAGCUGGGACUGCAGGCGUGCACCACCAUCCUUGGAUAAUUUUUUAUUUUUUAGAGAAAUGAGGUCUCCCUGUGUUGCCCAGUCUGGUCAGGCUCAAGCAAUCCUCCCAUGUCAGCUUCCCAAAGUGCUGGAUUACAAGCAUAAGCCACCAUGCCUGGCUGUAUCCUGCUUUCUGUUAUAAUAGAGUGGAUUUUGUCAUCUUGAUAGCCCACACAACGUUGGUCCGUUUCUUUGAUGAUAUUAUGCUAAUUGGACCUGACAAGCAGAAAAUAAUAAACAUCCUACAAGACUUAAUAAAACACAUGCAUGACGGGAUGGGAAGGAAAUCUUGAAUAAAAAUUCAUGAUUGACCACAUUCGUAAGGUUUUUAGGGUCUGAUUG